Molecule: long non-coding RNA, 332 nt
Filed under: Rattus norvegicus (Norway rat)
Lineage: Eukaryota; Metazoa; Chordata; Mammalia; Rodentia; Muridae
Description: long non-coding RNA NONRATT028276
Source: RNAcentral
ACAGAUCUUGCAAACUUAACCAUUGAAGACAAUGAAGCACAGUGUUCUCAGGCAGGUGCAGUGCAGCCUUCGUCUUCAGUGGAAACCACCUUUUGUGGAGCUGCAUCAGAGCCUUGGGCGGACCAACCCACAGUGGCAUCUUCAGAGGCUGUUAGUGGAGAUGAAACAGCAAAGAGAAACAGGAGCCAGUGUAUAUAAGUAUGAAGACAAGCUGUUUUUCUACAGAAAGCACAAGUCAAGCCAAAAAUACAUACUGACUUCCUACAAAUUGUGUUAAGGGUUCUUUUUUAAUGUAUAAAAUUAUUUAUUGUCAAUAAAUUUUUAUUUAAGUG